UACGUAGGGUGCGAGCGUUUAAUCGGAAUUACUGGGCGUAAAGCGUGCGCAGGCGGUUCGUUGUGUCGGUGGUGAAAGCCCCAGGCUUAACCUGGGAAUGGCCGUCGAAACUGGCGAACUGGAGUGUGGCAGAGGGGGGUGGAAUUCCGCGUGUAGCAGUGAAAUGCGUAGAGAUGCGGAGGAACACCGAUGGCGAAGGCAGCCCCCUGGGCUGACACUGACGCUCAGGCACGAAAGCGUGGGGAGCAAACAGG
RNAcentral lists this ribosomal RNA (254 nucleotides) under uncultured bacterium. RNAcentral's name for it is "partial 16S ribosomal RNA". It matches the Rfam family "Bacterial small subunit ribosomal RNA", at positions 524 to 776 of the family's 1533-position model. The record is from RNAcentral.